RNAcentral lists this unclassified non-coding RNA (320 nucleotides) under plant metagenome. Its description in RNAcentral is "partial contains 5.8S ribosomal RNA, internal transcribed spacer 2, and large subunit ribosomal RNA". The stretch from base 1 to 105 matches the Rfam family "5.8S ribosomal RNA", at positions 50 to 154 of the family's 154-position model. The record is from RNAcentral.
GAAAUGCGAUAAGUAAUGUGAAUUGCAGAAUUCAGUGAAUCAUCGAAUCUUUGAACGCACAUUGCGCCCGCCAGUAUUCUGGCGGGCAUGCCUGUUCGAGCGUCAUUACAACCCUCAGGCCCCCGGGCCUGGCGUUGGGGAUCGGCGGAAGCCCCCUGCGGGCACAACGCCGUCCCCCAAAUACAGUGGCGGUCCCGCCGCAGCUUCCAUUGCGUAGUAGCUAACACCUCGCAACUGGAGAGCGGCGCGGCCACGCCGUAAAACACCCAACUUCUGAAUGUUGACCUCGAAUCAGGUAGGAAUACCCGCUGAACUUAGGC